RNAcentral lists this ribosomal RNA (200 nucleotides) under uncultured bacterium. RNAcentral's name for it is "partial 16S ribosomal RNA". It matches the Rfam family "Bacterial small subunit ribosomal RNA", at positions 524 to 723 of the family's 1533-position model. The record is from RNAcentral.
UACGUAGGGAGCAAGCGUUGUCCGGAUUUACUGGGUGUAAAGGGUGCGUAGGCGGCUUUGCAAGUCAGAUGUGAAAUCUAUGGGCUCAACCCAUAAACUGCAUUUGAAACUGUAGAGCUUGAGUGAAGUAGAGGCAGGCGGAAUUCCCCGUGUAGCGGUGAAAUGCGUAGAGAUGGGGAGGAACACCAGUGGCGAAGGCG